AUUGCAGUCUGCAACUCGACUGCAUGAAGCUGGAAUCGCUAGUAAUCGCGGAUCAGAAUGCCGCGGUGAAUACGUUCCCGGGUCUUGUACACACCGCCCGUCACACCAUGGGAGUCGGAUAUGCCCGAAGUCAGUGACCCAACCGCAAGGAGGGAGGCUGCCGAAGGUGGAGCCGAUGACUGGGGUGAAGUCGUAACAAGGUAAC
This 205-nucleotide ribosomal RNA is filed under the name uncultured bacterium. RNAcentral describes it as "partial 16S ribosomal RNA". It matches the Rfam family "Bacterial small subunit ribosomal RNA", at positions 1297 to 1500 of the family's 1533-position model. The record is from RNAcentral.